ACCGUCCUACGGGAGGCAGCAGUGGGGAAUAUUGCACAAUGGGCGCAAGCCUGAUGCAGCCAUGCCGCGUGUGUAGAAGCAUCGGCUUGUAAGACACUUUCAGUUGUGAGGAAGGUGGUGUCGUUAAUAGCGGCAUCAUUUGACGUUAGCAACAGAAGAAGCACCGGCUAACUCCGUGCCAGCAGCCGCGGUAAUACGGAGGGUGCGAGCGUUAAUCGGAAUUACNGGGGGUAAAGCGCAUGCAGGUGGUUUGUUAAGUCAGAUGUGAAAGCCCGGGCU
This 279-nucleotide ribosomal RNA is filed under the name uncultured bacterium. RNAcentral's name for it is "partial 16S ribosomal RNA". It matches the Rfam family "Bacterial small subunit ribosomal RNA", at positions 333 to 609 of the family's 1533-position model. The record is from RNAcentral.